This 6535-nucleotide long non-coding RNA is filed under the name Prunus persica (peach). RNAcentral's name for it is "long non-coding RNA (PPER_LNC005648)". The record is from RNAcentral. Lineage: Eukaryota; Viridiplantae; Streptophyta; Magnoliopsida; Rosales; Rosaceae.
CAAGUCUCGUCUUCUUCCUCUACCCAAAAGUUUUAAACAAACAAAAAGGUCCAAACAAGUCAAGAGGAGGACUUGUCAUUCGCUUUAAUAAUAAUAGUCUUCGAGAGCAGGAAAUAUUAGCAAAUAGCUACGUGGGUAUCUUUGGGGUUUCCAACCUCAUACCACAUAGGAAUAAACUAUUAACCUCAUACCCUCGUCAGUAGCUACCUAUUCUUUAUAGGAAAAUGCUAGGCACUUAAAUAAUUAAAAGACAACGUGUCUAUGUAGCAAAAAAAAGGAUAUUGACUUGUACCCCAAAAAAAAAAAAGGAUAUUGACUAAAAAAAGAAAACAAACACAAAUGUGUUGUAAAGAAGAAAUAUGUGGAGUCCACAUUUAUGGGGCCCACAAAGAAAAUUAAGCAAAGUAUUUGGAGGUUUAUCAGCUGCACACUCACGGAUGUGUAUUGUAGAAUCACGGGUGCCAUUUAACAUCUCUAUAAAUAGAGAAAGAAGAAGAGAGAAAGAAAAGAAAAAGAAGAAGAGAGAAAGAGAUAGGAAACGGAAAGAAGAAAAAGAAGAAGAGAGAAAGAGAUAGGAAACGGAAAGAAGAAAAGAAAAAGAGAGAAAGAGAUAGGAAACGGAAAGAAGAAAAAGAAGAAGAGAGAAAGAGAUAGGAAACGGAAAGAAGAAAAGAAAAAGAGAGAAAGAGAUAGGAAACGGAAAGGAGGAAAGGAAAGGAGGAAAGAAGAGGGUAAGUAAGCAGAGAGAAAAUUCAGUGAGUCACACAUAUUGUAAACACUAUUGUAGUCAUAUUAUUAUAUAGUGAAAAGUUACUGUUGCUGCUCUCCGAGGACGUAGGCGUAGCCGAACCUCGUUAAAUACUGUGUCUCAUCUACUUUACGUGCAGCUCAAAAUUCGCACAUAUCCCAGGUUAUUUUAUAACACGUUAUCAGCACGAUAGUCUCUCCUUUUAUUUCUGAAAUUUUUCCAACUCAACACUAUAUAAUAUACUAUAUUUAUCUGUUUCUCUAUUACUAACCAUUAACAAAAAUGGACCCUUGGUAAUACUAAACAUAUUAUCAGUGGGAGACCGUUACUAAUACUAACUUUUUUUUUAUUCGGUGGUGGUUUUAACCCCACAUUUAAUUUUAUUUAUGGUAUGGUGUAGGCUUAUUACCCAUACGGCAAUAUUUAUUUAAAGGGUGGUGCGGGUUUAUCGUCCACGCCUUUACUUUUAUUUAAAUAUAUGGAGCAGAAUUAGUGCCCAUACAAGCACAUUUACUUUACCGCACAUUUAAGGUAUGGUGCGGGUUUAUCGUCCAUACCAGCAAAUUCAUAACACUUUACUUUUAUCAUCAAUUAAUAUACCUGAAUAAUGAGGACCUGAAAUUCCUAUUAAUAAGUGGCUUAAUAUUCCAGAUCUCGAGCCUAAAGUUUUGGAUGGCAAAUUUGGCAAAACUAGAGUUUGCUGCCUUGGACCUUUCCGGGGACAACUAUUUAUCAUGGGUCCUGGAUGCCAAAAUUCAUCUACGAGUCAAUGGCCUCGGACAAACAAUUGUAGAUGAGAAUGAUGCUUCGCCUGAAGAGAAUGCGAAGGCCAUGAUCUUUCUUCGCCGCCACAUCCAUGAAGCGCUGAAGAGCGAAUAUGUGGUGGUUGAUGAACCGUUGGUUCUGUGGAAAGCUCUAGGUGAAAGAUACGAUCACCAGAAGACGGUGACUCUCCCAAGAGCUAAUACGAAUGGACCCACUUGAGAUUUCAAGAUUUCAAGUCAGUGUCCAAGUAUAACUCUGCUAUGCACAGAAUUACCCCAUUAAUGAGGCUAUGUGGGGAAAAUAUAUCUGAUGAGGAUAUGCUCGAAAAAACUCCGAGCACUUUUCAUGCUUCAAAUGUCCUCCUUCAGCAGCAAUACAGACAUAGCGGUUUCAAGAAGUACUCGGAACUUGUAUCUUGCCUCUUGUUAGCUGAGCAGAAUAAUGAGCUCUUAUCAAAGAAUCACCAAUCUCGCCCAACGGGCUCAGCACCACUUCCUGAAAUAAAUGCUGCAUCUCAGGAAGUGAAUGCCACUUCAUCUCGUGGCAGUAUCUACAAACGUGAGCGAGGGGGCAAGCGUGGCCACUGGCAAGGAAGUAGAAAAAAUCGUGGUGCUCGUUCAGAGGGUUUAGGUCCAAGGAGCGGUCCAUCCACGAAUGGCAAAAAUGCAUCCCGUAAUAAGGGAAAGGCACAGAUGAGCCAUGUGCCUAGAAAUGUUGAAAGCCCUUGUCACAGAUGUGGUGCAAAGGGACAUUGGGUGCGCGCAUGUCGUACGCCCAGGCAUUUGGUUGAUCUCUAUCAAGCUUCACUUAAGAACAGGAAAGUGGAGAUAAAUUACAUUGAUCAUGCUCCGCCAGCCACAGAUGGCUCAUCAGAAAUAUCACGUCAGCUAAACAAGACGCAUCUAGCUGUUUCUGAUUUUGUUACUGAAAAAGGGAAUGAAGGUUAUGUGUCCGAAUUAGAUUAAAUUCCUUAAUAUACUAUUUGUAUUAGCUGAAGUGUUGUUUAAAUUUCAAUCCAAUAAAAGUGGUAAUGUUUUCUUCUUUAUUAAUCCAGCUUAUUUUACUUAUUUGGUGGCAUGGAUGCAAAUUAUGGAUGCCCUCAAAACAAAGGCUAUGGCAGAGAUAUUUGUCUCGCAGACAGCGCAACUACUCAUACGAUCCUUCAAGAUCGGAAGUAUUUCUCAAAAUUAAUGCUUACAAAAGCAAAGGUAACAACCAUAUCAGGUCCUGCAGAUCUGAUUGAAGGUUCAGGAAUAGCCCAAAUUAUGUUACCGAAUGGAACAAUACUGUCCAUUCCAGAUGCUUUGUAUUCAUCUAACUCCAGAAGGAAUCUGUUGAGUUUCAAAGAUAUACGUUUGAAUGGCUACCAUGUUGAAACAAAGAAAGAGGAAAACAUGGAAUAUCUUUGUAUUACCUCCAGUGAUACUCAAAAGCGUAUACUGGAAAAGCUUUGUGAGCUCUCAUCAGGGUUGUAUUACACAACCAUACGGACAAUUGAGGCACAUAGUGUCAUGGACCAAGAGUCCACUGACUCAAAUGCUUUUAAGCUUUGGCAUGACAGGUUGGGUCAUCCUGGAUCCACCAUGAUGCGCAGGAUCAUCACCAACUCUAAAGGACAUCCCUUGUUGACUAAACACAUUAUGUUAUCAAGCGACAUCUUUUGCCAAGCUUGUUCACAAGGGAAGUUGGUGAUCAGACCAUCACAACCAAAGGUUGAUGUUGAGUCUCCAUCAUUUUUGCAGAGAAUUCAAGGGGACAUUUGUGGACCCAUUCAUCCCCCAUGUAGACCAUUUCGGUACUUUAUGGUCUUGGUAGACGCAUCUACCCGAUGGUCACAUGUUUGUCUUUUAUCUACUCGGAAUAUGACAUUUGCUAUGCUUUUGGCUCAGAUAAUUAAAUUACGAGCCCAAUUCCCAGAUUAUCCCAUUAAGUCAAUCAGACUCGAUAAUGCUGGUGAAUUUACAUCUCAGACUUUUGAUGACUACUGCAUGUCACUAGGCAUUGAUAUUGAACAUCCUGUUCCCCAUGUGCAUACUCAAAAUGGCUUGGCAGAAGCUUUAAUUAAACGCCUUCAAUUGAUAGCACGCACUUUGCUAAUGAAAACAAAGUUGCCAUUUUCUGCUUGGGGAUAUGCCAUUUUACAUGCAGCAUCGCUUGUGCGAUUGAGGCCCGUCACCAACAAUCAAUGUUCUCCAAUACAACUCGUAUUGGGAAAUCAACCAAACAUUUCACAUUUAAGAAUUUUUGGGUGUGCAGUAUAUGUGCCCAUUGCACCACCGCAACGUACUAAGAUGGGCCCUCAACGCAGAUUGGGAAUUUAUGUUGGUUUUGAUUCACCAUCUAUCAUCAGAUACUUGGCACCCCUGACGGGUGAUAUUUUUACCGCACGAUUUGCGGAUUGUGAUUUUGAUGAGACAAUCUUCCCACCAUUAGGGGGAGAAAAAUCUGUGUCUAAAGAACAAGGCAAACUCAUUCCUGAAAAACGACAUGAAUUAUCCUGGAAUGUAUCCACAUUGUCUCAUCUCGAUCCUCAUACUGCUCAAUGCGAAAACGAAGUGAGAAGGAUCGUUCACCUCCAAAGUAUUGCCAAUCAGAUGCCAGAUGCAUUUAAUGAUGCAGCAAAGGUGACAAAAUCUCAUAUCCCAGCUGCAAAUACACCCGCACGGAUUGAUGUCCAUAAUGGACAAAGCAAUAUCCCAGCAAAUGGUUCAUCUGCUGCACGCCUAAAACGUGGCAGACCACUAGGCUCAAAGGAUUCAAUUCCUCGAAAGAGGAAGUUGAUGGACAAAAUGAAUCCAAAUGAAAUAAAUAGAGAGCCCACAAUUCAUAAUUCAAAUGCCCCCAAAGAGGGACAGGUACUUCUUGAUAAGGAAAACGUCAUUGGUGAGACAAGUGCCCCUGGAGUGGCAACCGUACCUGAAAGUCAAGAAAUCUCCAUAAAUUAUACGUCCACUGAUGAAUUGUGGAGUAGAAAUGAGAUGAUCAUCGAUGAUAUAUUUGCAUUCUCAGUGGCUGCUGAGAUCAUAAAAGAUGAUGAUAUUGAGCCGUGCUCUAUUAAUGAAUGUACACAGAGGCAAGAUUGGCCCAAGUGGAAAGAUGCAAUCCAGGCAGAAUUAAAUUCUUUGGAAAAAAGGAGUGUUUUUGGACAUAUUAGUCCAACUCCACCCAAUGUGAACCCUGUAGGUUACAAGUGGGUAUUUACAAGAAAGCGCAAUGAGAAAAAUGAGAUCUCAAGGUAUAAAGAGCGACUCGUUGCGCAAGGUUUUUCACAAAAGCCUGGAAUUGAUUAUGUGGAAACGUACUCUCCAGUAAUGGACACAAUUACAUUCCGUUACCUAAUAAGUUUGGCGGUUUCAGAAAAACUUAAAAUGAGACUCAUGGAUGUCAUUACCGCAUAUUUGUAUGGAGAAUUGGAUACAGAUAUAUACAUGAAAGUUCCAGAAGGAUUCAGGUUGCCUGAAGCAGCCAGAAACAAACCACGGGACAUGUUCUCAGUUAAAUUGAGAAAAUCAUUAUAUGGGCUAAAACAAUCUGGACGAAUGUGGUACAAUCGUCUCAGUAAGUAUUUACUGAAGGAAGGAUACACAAAUGAUUCUAUUUGCCCAUGUGUGUUUAUUAAGAAAUCAGAGUCUGGAUUUGCGAUAGUGGCAGUAUAUGUCGACGACAUGAAUCUAAUUGGAACUUCUGAAGAGCUUCAAAAGACUGUUGAUUAUCUCAAACGUGAGUUUGAGAUGAAGGACCUUGGAAAGACAAAAUAUUGUCUUGGCUUGCAGAUUGAGCACAGUGCUAAUGGAAUUUUGGUGCAUCAAUCAACUUAUACUGAGAAAGUAUUGGAACGGUUUGGCAUGGAUAAAGCCCAUCCACUUAGCACUCCAAUGGUCGUUCGAUCGCUUGACACUAAGAAAGACCCAUAUCGUCCAAAAGAGAAUGAUGAAAUGGUCCUUGGUCCAGAAGUACCAUAUCUUAGUGCAAUAGGUGCCUUAUUGUACCUAGCACAAUGUACCAGACCAGACAUAUCAUUCUCAGUAAAUCUGUUAGCAAGGUACAGUUCUGCUCCAACAAGGCGACACUGGACCGGCAUCAAACAUGUUCUACGAUACCUUCGUGGGACAACAGACAUUGGGUUAUUCUAUUCCAGCGAAUCGACCAAUGCCCAGAGUAUUAUUGGUUAUGCUGAUGCAGGAUAUCUCUCUGAUCCACAUCAAGGACGAUCACAGACUGGGUAUGUAUUUACAUGUGGAGGAACUGCGAUCUCAUGGCGCUCAACAAAACAAACAUUAGUGGCCACAUCUUCUAAUCACUCAGAAAUACUUGCCCUCCAUGAAGCCAGUCGUGAAUGCGUUUGGUUAAGGUCGGUAAUCCAUCACAUCCGAAGCACAUGUGCCCUACCCUCAACAACAGACACUCCAACAAUUCUGAAUGAGGACAAUGCAGCUUGUAUUGCUCAGAUCACAGGAGGAUAUAUUAAGGGUGACAGGACCAAGCACAUAUCACCAAAGUUUUUCUAUACACAUGAGCUCCAGAAGAGUCAAGAAAUCAAAGUCAGACAAAUCCGUUCAAGUGAUAACCUGGCAGAUCUCUUCACUAAAUCAUUGCCGAAAUGUACAUUCCAAAAGUUAGUGCAUGGCAUCGGAUAACGACAACUCUGCAAGCAAUCAAGUUGGAGCAUGCAAAAUCAGGGGGAGCAUUCAAAAGUCCUCUAACAUAGGACAUAUGCACGUUGUACUCUUUUUCCUUCGCUUAGGUUUUUUCCCACUGGGUUUUUCCAAGCAAGGUUUUAAUGAGGCAACCAAUCUAGGGACAUGUGGUCUCCAAGGGGGAGUGUUGUAAAGAAGAAACAUGUGGAGCCCACAUUUAUGGGGCCCACAAAGAAAAUUAAGCAAAGUAUUUGGAGGUUUAUCAGCUGCACACUCACGGAUGUGUAUUGUAGAAUCACGGGUGCCAUUUAACAUCUCUAUAAAUAGAGAAAGAAGAAGAGAGAAAGAAAAGAAAAAGAAGAAGAGAGAAAGAGAUAGGAAACGG